UUUGACCUCGGAUCAGGUAGGAAUACCCGCUGAACUUAAGCAUAUCAAUAAGCGGAGGAAAAGAAACCAACAGGGAUUGCCCUAGUAACGGCGAGUGAAGCGGCAACAGCUCAAAUUUGAAAGCUGGCUUAGGCCCGCAUUGUAAUUUGCAGAGGAUGCUUUUGGUGAGGUUCUUUCCGAGUUCCCUGGAACGGGACGCCAUAGAGGGUGAGAGCCCCGUAUGGAUUGACACCAAACCUGUGUAAAGCUCCUUCAACGAGUCGAGUAGUUUGGGAAUGCUGCUCAAAAUGGGAGGUAAAUCUCUUCUAAAGCUAAAUAUAGGCCAGAGACCGAUAGCGCACAAGUAGAGUGAUCGAAAGAUGAAAAGCACCUUGAAAAGGGGGUUAAACAGUACGUGAAAUUGUUGAAAGGGAAGCGCUUGUGACCAGACUUGCGCCGGGCAGCUCAUCAGGGGUUCUCCCCUGUGCACUCUGCCCGGCUCAGGCCAGCAUCGGUUCUCGUGGGAGGAUAAGAACGGUAGGAAUGUGGCCCCCUCUCGGGGGGGUGUUAUAGCCUGCCGUACGAUACUCUCGUGGGGACCGAGGUUCGCGCUCCGCAAGGAUGCUGGCGUAAUGGUCAUCAGCGACCCGUCUUGAAACACGGACCAAGGAGUCGUCCAUUAGAGCGAGCGUUUGGGUGUAAAACCCGCACGCGUAAUGAAAGUGAACGUAGGUGAGAGCUUCGGCGCAUCAUCGACCGAUCCUGAUGUUUUCGGAAGGAUUUGAGUAAGAGUUUUAACGGACGGACCCGAAAGACAGUGAACUAUGCUUGUAUAGGGUGAAGCCAGAGGAAACUCUGGUGGAGGCUCGCAGCGGUUCUGACGUGCAAAUCGAUCGUCAAAUAUGAGCAUGGGGGCGAAAGACUAAUCGAACU
Molecule: ribosomal RNA, 912 nt
Filed under: Cytospora cf. austromontana JZG-2008
Lineage: Eukaryota; Fungi; Ascomycota; Sordariomycetes; Diaporthales; Cytosporaceae
Description: eukaryotic LSU rRNA
Rfam family: Eukaryotic large subunit ribosomal RNA
Source: RNAcentral